Molecule: ribosomal RNA, 253 nt
Filed under: uncultured bacterium
Lineage: Bacteria
Description: partial 16S ribosomal RNA
Rfam family: Bacterial small subunit ribosomal RNA
Source: RNAcentral
UACGAGAGGCCCAAACGUUAUUCGGAUUUACUGGGCUUAAAGAGUUCGUAGGCGGUCCGUCAAGUGGGGUGUGAAAGCCCUCGGCUCAACCGAGGAAUUGCGCUCCAAACUGUCGGGCUCGAGGGAGAUAGAGGUGAGCGGAACUGAUGGUGGAGCGGUGAAAUGCGUUGAUAUCAUCAGGAACACCAGAGGCGAAGGCGGCUUACUGGGUCUCUUCUGACGCUGAGGAACGAAAGCUAGGGGAGCAAACGGG